GGUCAAGCGAACAAGGGCGCAGGGCGAAUGCCUUGGCACUGGGAGCCGAUGAAAGACGUGAUAAGCUGCGAUAAGCUUCGGGGAGCUGCAAAUAAGCAUUGAUCCGGAGAUUUCUGAAUGAGGAAACUCACCUGGGAUCAUACUCAGGUACGUUAUACUGAACUUAAAAAUAGGUAUAUCGAGGGAACCGCCUGAACUGAAACAUCUAAGUAGGGCGAGGAAGAGACAUCAAACGAGAUUCCGUAAGUAGUGGCGAGCGAACGCGGAAGAGGGCAAACCGGGAGUAGAAAUACUUCCGGGGUACGGACCGCAUUUAGGACUUGAGUUGUUAACCGAACGGCAUGGGAAGGCCGGUCAGAGAGUGUGAGAACCACGUAGGUGAAAACGACAAGAGCUGAGCGAGUUCCAGAGUACGGCCAGACACGUGAAACCUGGUCGGAAUACGGGGGGACCACCCUCCAACCCUAAAUACUACCCAGUGACCGAUAGCGUAUAGUACUGUGAAGGAAAGGUGAAAAGCACCCCGGGAGGGGAGUGAAAAAGAACCUGAAACCCUGUGCCUACAAGCACCUAGAGCACGUCAAUGUGUGAUAGGGUACUUUUUGUAGAACGGUCCGGCGAGCGAUUGUAUGCAGCAAGGUUAAGGACUUAAGGUCUGGAGCCGAAGCGAAAGCGAGUUUGAAAAGGGCGUUAAGUUGCAUAUAAUGGGCCCGAAACCGGGUGACCUACCCAUGGUCAGGUUGAAGUGGAAGUAAAAUUCCAUGGAGGACCGAACCGACCUCCGUUGAAAAGGCGGCGGAUGAACUGUGGGUAGCGGAGAAAUUCCAAUCGAACCCGGAGAUAGCUGGUUCUCCCCGAAAUAGUUUUAGGACUAGCCUCAAGUUAGAUACCUGGAGGUAAAGCACUGAAUAGCCUAGCGGCCGAGAGGUUAGCGAAGCUUAUCAAACUCAGAAUGCCAGAGUAUUGAUGCUUGGGAGUCAGACAGUGUCAGAUAAAUGUCAUUGUCAAAAGGGAAACAGCCCAGAUCUACAGCUAAGGUCCCAAAGUCAGGUUAAGUGGAAAACGAUGUGAAGAUACGUAGACAACCAGGAUGUUGGCUCAGAAGCAGCCACACAUUCAAAGAGUGCGUAAUAGCUCACUGGUCGAGCGUCUUUGCGCGGAGAAUUUAACGGGGCUAAACCUGACACCGAAGCUUAGGCAAUACAGCAAUGUAUUGGGUAGGGGAGCGUUGUAUACGCGGUGAAACAGUAGCGCAAGCGGCUGUGGAGUGUAUAGAAGUGAGAAUGCCGGAAUGAGUAGCGCGAAUGCAGUGAGAAUCUGCAUGGCCGAAAGCCUCAGGUUUCUGGAGGAAGGUUCGUCCGCUCCAGGUUAGUCGGGAGCUAAGGUGAGGCCUAACGGCGUAGCCGAUGCACAGACGGUAGAGAUUCCGUCACCACCAAAAGAGUUAAACACAGGGACACAUUUGAAGUCUCGGAGCCGGGUGUUGGUUCCGGUAGCGAUCGAGGGAAAUUAGUACCGAAGUCCGGGAUGGAAGAUGGCGAGAAAAGCUGUGUGUAUUUCUGCGGUGCCCGUACCGCAAACCGACACAGGUAGGUAGGAAGAAGAUUCUAAGGCCAACGGGAGAAGGGUUGUUAAGGAACUCGGCAAAUUGACCCCGUAACUUCGGGAGAAGGGGUGCUCCAGAGAUGGAGCCGCAGAGAAUCGGCCCAAGCAACUGUUUACCAAAAACACAGGUUUGUGCUAAAUCGAAAGAUGACGUAUACGAGCUGACGCCUGCCCGGUGCUGGAAGGUUAAGAGGAGAUGUGCAAGCAUUGAAUCGAAGCCCCAGUGAACGGCGGCCGUAACUAUAACGGUCCUAAGGUAGCGAAAUUCCUUGUCAGGUAAGUUCUGACCCGCAUGAAAGGCGUAAUGAUUUGGGCACUGUCUCGACAGCCCGCCCGGCGAAAUUGUAGUACCGGUGAAGAUGCCGGUUACCCGCGACAAGACGGAAAGACCCCAUGGAGCUUUACUGUAGCCUAAUAUUGGGUUUCGAUGUUGCAUGCACAGGAUAGAUGGGACACAGGGAAACAAGUGCUUUGGCAUUUGUGGAGUGGCCGUUGGGAUACCAUCCUUGCGAUAUUGGAAUUCUAACCUGCGCCUUUGAAUCAAGGCGGGGGACAUUGUUAGGUGGGCAGUUUGACUGGGGCGGUCGCCUCCUAAAGAGUAACGGAGGCGUUCAAAGGUUCGCUCAGCUUGAACGGAAAUCAAGCAAAAGAGUGCAAACGCAGAAGCGAGCCUAACUGCGAGACUGACGGGUCGAGCAGUAACGAAAGUUGGAGUUAGUGAUCCGGUGGUAUGUGAGUGGAAAUGCCAUCGCUCAACGGAUAAAAGUUACCCUGGGGAUAACAGGCUGAUCUCCCCCAAGAGUCCACAUCGACGGGGAGGUUUGGCACCUCGAUGUCGGCUCAUCGCAUCCUGGGGCUGUAUUCGGUCCCAAGGGUUUGGCUGUUCGCCAAUUAAAGCGGUACGCGAGCUGGGUUCAGAACGUCGUGAGACAGUUCGGUCCCUAUCUGUCGUGGGCGCAGGAUAUUUGAUGGGAGCUGUUCCUAGUACGAGAGGACCGGAGCGGACGUACCUCUGGCGCACCAGUUGUUCUGCCAAGGGCAUAGCUGGGCAACUAUGUACGGAUCGGAUAAACGCUGAAAGCAUCUAAGCGUGAAGCCGACCCAAAGAUAAGAUAUCCCAUUGUUUCAAACAAGUAAGACCCCUUGAAGACUACAAGGUUGAUAGGCAUGAUGUGUAAGUGGAGUGAUCCAUUCAGCAAGCAUGUACUAAUAGGUCGAGGGCUUGACCAC
Molecule: ribosomal RNA, 2835 nt
Filed under: Oscillospiraceae bacterium
Lineage: Bacteria; Bacillati; Bacillota; Clostridia; Eubacteriales; Oscillospiraceae
Description: 23S ribosomal RNA
Rfam family: Bacterial large subunit ribosomal RNA
Source: RNAcentral